AGGAGAGUCAACAGAUAACAGGGUAAGGAAUUAGUGGUUAGGGUUAAGAGUUAGGGAUAGGCUCAAACACAUUCACUGUUGUGUGACAAAUGUUAUGAAGUAUUUGAAAGUGGUAUAAAGGCAGUGAUGGGGAUCAUCGUUUAGCAAUACUUGAUCACAAUAUUUUCACUUUUCCACUCCCACCAUUGAACCUGGCAUGAUUCUGGGAAAUCCAAUUUCAGGUGCAACAGGAGUUUCUGAGUUGUAGAAGUUUCCUAGAUGUGUAUGGGGUUUGUUGGGUGGAUAUGGCAAGUUCUACCUGCUGUGUUGCAAACGCUGUGUCAGAGAGCACACAUUAGAUUAAUCCUCAACACAGUUUUGUGUGUGUGCUUCAGUGGGCCUGGUGUUGCCUGAAACCUCACAUGUGCCUGAGGGGCUUCAGAGCCCUUGACUACCUUUCUGAUCACCUCUGCUCCCAAAGAGAGCUCAAGGACAUGGGGCCUCUGCUUCAAAGAUAGAUUAGUAGUAACUGGAGAGUCAGAAAUAUAGAGUUCAGGGGCCACCUUUAAUUAUUUUUCUAGAGGUCAUACACUGAGAGCAAAACUUCUGAUUUAACACAUGUAGACAGGGUCCAAGAAUGAGCUUGUCGGAACUCCUAUGUGAUGCUCACGUUCUAAAGACAGAGAAUGAGAACUGUAUCUGUCAAAGUCAUUCCUUCUUAACCGUAGGAAGAAGCUUAACCAUAGUAAGUACAUUCAAAAGGUUUCUCUCCAAAACAUACUGUUUUGUUGUGUUUUGGUUUUUCAAGACAGGGUUUCUCUCUAUAGCCCAGGCUGUCCUGGAACUCACUUUGUAGACCAGGCUGGCCGAGAACUCAGAGGUCCUCCUGCAUCUUCCUCCCAAGUGCUGGGAUUAAAGGCAUGCACCACCACUGUCUGGCUCCAGUACAUAUUCUUUCAUGAUGAUGAAGCCCACAGAAUUGUGCAAACGCUUCACCAUAUUAAAUAAACUCCCAAGGUUUCUGUCUUAGUGUUUCCAUCGCUAGGAAUAGACAUCAUGACCAAGGCAACUCUCAUAAAAGCAAACCUUUAAUUGGGGCUGGCUUACAGUUUCAGAGGUUUAGUCCAUUUUCAUCAUAGCAGGAAGCACAGCAGCAGCAUGCAGGCAGACAUGAUGCUGGAGGAGCUGAGAGUUCUGCAUUUUGAUCCAAAGGCAGCCAGGAAGAAACUGUCUUCCAGGGAGGGAAUAGGAGGGUCUGUUUUGCACUUGGUGGAGCUUCAGAGUCCACCCCCAGAGAUAUCCACUUCCUCCAACAAGCUCACACCACUAAAUAGAGUCACUCCCUGUGACAAGCAUAUUCAAACUCCCACAUUCCAUUCAAUGGCCCCCAUAACCAUGUUGGAGUACAGGAAUGUAUGAGGACCAUACUUAAACAUGCAUAAUGAAAAAUACACGAGGUCCAACCUCAAAAGUCCCCAUCAUCUAUUCCACUCUCAAAAAUGUUAAAAGUCCAAAGGUCAAAGUCUCUUCUGAGAUUCAUUCAAUGUAACUGUAAUCCCCUAAAAAAGAAAAUCUAAAAGCAGAUCAUAUACUACCACUUCAAAACAUAGACUUUAACAAUCCUAAAUGUCAUCAUGAGGAAAUAGUGGACCAAAACAAAACCAAAAGUCAGCUUGGAAAUCUCCAAACUGCAUCUCUAUGUCUGAUGUUAAAGCAUUCUUCAGAUCUCCAACUCCUUUCUGCUGUGUUCACUGCAGCACAAUUCUUUCUCUUUGGCUGGUUUUUCCUGAGCAGGUACCCCACAGCUCUGACAUCUCAAAGAUCUUGGGGUCUCGAAGGUAACCUCAGUGUUACAGUUUCUUGUUCCAAUGUCUUGGAUCCACACAUGAUCUUCUGCAGUCCUCCAGAGAGAUAAGGUCACUUCUCUAGCUCUGACCUCUGUAUCACUCUAAGCUCUUGUUGACUCCACUCUACUGGGCUGUUCUUUCUGCUCAUCCCAUUGGACUGGCAUCUUCAAUAUGUUGGGUUCUUCUGCUGCAACUAGGCUUCACUGAUAGUCUCACUUAUGCUCUCUUCAUUGGUCCAAGCCUCAGCUGCUCCUCAUGACACUGUUAUGCCUUCAAAACCAGUACCACCUGGGUGAUUCUUACAUGAGACCAAGUUCAGCUGCAACACAAGGUACAAUCCUGGCUAUCUCUGAACACAGUUUCUUUGUCCUCUCAGAAAACAGUUCCUAGAAGAUUUCACCUCAAUGAUGCUGGUCUCUUCUUCAUCACUUCUAAUUUCUCAGCCACAGCUAACGAACUUCAAUUUUCCCAGUAGUCCCUUCUAUUCUUACCUCUAAAGUCAGAGCCACAUGGACAAAGUUGCUGAGUUCUGCUGCUUUCUGGGCCUGGGACAUGGCCUCUUCUAUUACAUUAUCACCAGUUUUCUGUUCUCCAACUCCUUUACUUCCUCAGCUUGGCUGUCCUUGAACUUGCUCUAUAUAUUGACCUUGAACUCAGAAAUCUGCAAAGCUCUGUAUCCACAGGGCUAGACCUAAGAAUUUCUUCACCUUUAACUUGUUCUGUAUCAGGAUGGACUUGAACUCAGAGAUCUGCUUGAUGCUCAUCUCCUAGGGUUCAAGGGCAUGUACCACCAUGCCUGGACCUAUGCUUUCCACUUUUGAUCUUAUAUUGAAAACCAAGAGCAGCAAUCACAAUCCAUCCCUUGUCAAUUUGAUACAUACUUGUAUCUCCUUAUGUCCAUAUGUAAACAAUAACCAGGUUUCUCUCCUCUGUGUUCUUUUAUGUCGCUGUAGAUGACUGUGAGUUGCAAAUGCUUUACCACAUUGAUUACAUUCAUAAGGUUUCUGUCCAGUAUAUGUUCUUUUAUGUCUUUGGAGAUUAGUCAUCCAUCCAAAGUCUUUACAACAUUGAUUGCAUUCUAAGGUGUUUUUCUAAAAUGUGUUCUUUCAUGUAGUUGGAGAUGACUGUGACUUGCAAAGGCUUUACCACAUUGAUUGCAUUCAUAAGGAUUCUUUCCAGUAUGUGUUCUUUUAUGAUAUUGGAGAUUAUUUUGAUGAGUAAAUGCUUUAUCACACAGAUCACACUGAUAAGGUCUCUCUCCAGUAUGUGUUCUUUUAUGACAUUGGAGACUAUUGUGAUGUGCAAAGGCUUUACCACAUUCAUUACACUUAUAAGGUUUCUCUCCAGAAUGUGUUCUUUUAUGUAUAUUGAGACUAGACUGCCAUGCAAAGGCUUUACCACAUUGAUCACACUCAUAAGGUUUCACUCCAGUAUGUGUUAUUUUAUGAUAUUCAAGACUACUGUGUUCUGAAAAUGCUUUAUCACAUUGAUUACAGUGAUAAGGUUUCUCUCCAGUAUGUGUUCUUUUAUGAUAUUGGAGACUACUGUGAUGUCCAUAGGCUUUACCACACUGAUUACAUUUAUAGGGCUUCUCUCCAGUAUGACUUCUAAUAUGAUAUUGGAGAUUACUGCGUUGUGAAAAGGCUUUACCACAUUGAUUACAUUCAUAAGGUUUCUCUCCAGUAUUUGUUCUUUUAUGUAUUUGGAGAUGAUUGUCACUUGCAAAGGCUUUACCACACUGGUUACGUUCAUACGGUUUCUCUCCAAUAUGAAUUCUUUCAUGC
Molecule: long non-coding RNA, 3610 nt
Filed under: Mus musculus (house mouse)
Lineage: Eukaryota; Metazoa; Chordata; Mammalia; Rodentia; Muridae
Description: long non-coding RNA chr13:74550800-74554410
Source: RNAcentral